This 432-nucleotide long non-coding RNA is filed under the name Ananas comosus (pineapple). Its description in RNAcentral is "long non-coding RNA (ACOM_LNC033920)". Lineage: Eukaryota; Viridiplantae; Streptophyta; Magnoliopsida; Poales; Bromeliaceae. The record is from RNAcentral.
AUUGUGAACGUAAAAAAAAAAGCAUCAAAAUUAGGGCCUAUUUAGGCUAACUUCUGAAAAAGUAAUUUUGAUUUGGAGAAGUGAUUUUAGUUAAAAGCUGUAAAGCGUUUGGCAGAGUUUAGAUAAAAAUAAUUUUUCUGAAGUGAUUUUGAAAAGCCGUUUGAAAUUUUUUUUUUGAUGUUUGCAUAAAUUAAUAUUUUUAUUUAAAUUUUACUUUAAAAUACUUUAAAAUCUAAAUUUAAAUUUGAAUUAAAAUUAAAAUUUUUAAGUUUCAAAAUUGUACAAAUUUAAAAUUUGAUAUUUUAAUUUAAAAAAUAAUUUUAAAUUUUAAAAUUUUAAAUUUUAAAAUAAUUAUGAAAUUUAAAAUUUAAAAAUAUAAAUAUAAAUUUAAAAAUAUAUAUAAUUAUGAAUUUUAAAAUAUAAAAUUAAAAU